ACUAUGCUUAGCCUAAACUCAGAUGUAAUUACAUACAAANCCAUCCGCCAGGGUACUACAAGCGCUAGCUUAAAACCCAAAGGACUUGACGGUGUCUCAGACCCACCUAGAGGAGCCUGUUCUAGAACCGAUAAUCCCCGUUAAACCUCACCAUCCCUUGUCUUUUCCCGCCUAUAUACCGCCGUCGCAAGCUUACCCUGUGAAGGACUUACAGUAAGCAAAAUGGGCCAGCCCCAGAACGUCAGGUCGAGGUGUAGCUCACGAGAUGGAAAGAAAUGGGCUACAUUUUCUAUUACAGAACAUUCACGAACGGUACCAUGAAACCUAGUACCCGAAGGUGGAUUUAGCAGUAAAAAACAAACAGAGCGUGUUUUUGAAUCAGGCUCUG
Molecule: ribosomal RNA, 388 nt
Filed under: Serrasalmus eigenmanni
Lineage: Eukaryota; Metazoa; Chordata; Actinopteri; Characiformes; Serrasalmidae
Description: partial 12S small subunit ribosomal RNA
Rfam family: Bacterial small subunit ribosomal RNA
Source: RNAcentral